This 253-nucleotide ribosomal RNA is filed under the name uncultured bacterium. RNAcentral's name for it is "partial 16S ribosomal RNA". It matches the Rfam family "Bacterial small subunit ribosomal RNA", at positions 524 to 776 of the family's 1533-position model. The record is from RNAcentral.
UACGGAGGGUGCAAGCGUUAUUCGGAAUUACUGGGCGUAAAGCGCACGUAGGUGGCGACGUAAGUCGGGUGUGAAAGCCCCGGGCUCAACCUGGGAAUUGCAUUCGAGACUGCAUUGCUGGAGUACGGAAGAGGAGGGCGGAAUUCCCGGUGUAGCGGUGAAAUGCGUAGAUAUCGGGAGGAACAUCAGUGGCGAAGGCGGCCCUCUGGUCCAGUACUGACACUCAAGUGCGAAAGCGUGGGGAGCAAACAGG